GGCGGCGUGCUUAACACAUGCAAGUCGAGCGGAAAGGCCCUUCGGGGUACUCGAGCGGCGAACGGGUGAGUAACACGUGAGCAACCUCCCCUAGGCUUUGGGAUAACCCCGGGAAACCGGGGCUAAUACCGAAUAUGACCUCCGGUCGCAUGGUUGGUGGUGGAAAGUUUUUCGGCCUGGGAUGGGCUCGCGGCCUAUCAGCUUGUUGGUGGGGUGAUGGCCUACCAAGGCGACGACGGGUAGCCGGCCUGAGAGGGCGACCGGCCACACUGGGACUGAGACACGGCCCAGACUCCUACGGGAGGCAGCAGUGGGGAAUAUUGCACAAUGGGCGGAAGCCUGAUGCAGCGACGCCGCGUGAGGGAUGACGGCCUUCGGGUUGUAAACCUCUUUCAGCAGGGACGAAGCGCAAGUGACGGUACCUGCAGAAGAAGCGCCGGCCAACUACGUGCCAGCAGCCGCGGUAAGACGUAGGGCGCGAGCGUUGUCCGGAUUUAUUGGGCGUAAAGAGCUCGUAGGCGGCUUGUCGCGUCGACUGUGAAAACCCGCAGCUCAACUGCGGGCCUGCAGUCGAUACGGGCAGGCUAGAGUUCGGUAGGGGAGACUGGAAUUCCUGGUGUAGCGGUGAAAUGCGCAGAUAUCAGGAGGAACACCGGUGGCGAAGGCGGGUCUCUGGGCCGAUACUGACGCUGAGGAGCGAAAGCGUGGGGAGCGAACAGGAUUAGAUACCCUGGUAGUCCACGCUGUAAACGUUGGGCGCUAGGUGUGGGGGGCCUCUCCGGUUCCCUGUGCCGCAGCUAACGCAUUAAGCGCCCCGCCUGGGGAGUACGGCCGC
This 835-nucleotide ribosomal RNA is filed under the name Micromonospora sp. IM-1601. RNAcentral's name for it is "bacterial SSU rRNA". It matches the Rfam family "Bacterial small subunit ribosomal RNA", at positions 38 to 889 of the family's 1533-position model. The record is from RNAcentral. Lineage: Bacteria; Bacillati; Actinomycetota; Actinomycetes; Micromonosporales; Micromonosporaceae.